Molecule: ribosomal RNA, 495 nt
Filed under: uncultured bacterium
Lineage: Bacteria
Description: partial 16S ribosomal RNA
Rfam family: Bacterial small subunit ribosomal RNA
Source: RNAcentral
GAUGAACGCUGGCGGCGUGCCUAAUACAUGCAAGUCGAGCGAACGGACGAGAAGCUUGCUUUUCUGAUGUUAGCGGCGGACGGGUGAGUAACACGUGGAUAACCUACCUAUAAGACUGGGAUAACUUCGGGAAACCGGAGCUAAUACCGGAUAAUAUUUUGAACCGCAUGGUUCAAAAGUGAAAGACGGUCUUGCUGUCACUUAUAGAUGGAUCCGCGCUGCAUUAGCUAGUUGGUAAGGUAACGGCUUACCAAGGCAACGAUGCAUAGCCGACCUGAGAGGGUGAUCGGCCACACUGGAACUGAGACACGGUCCAGACUCCUACGGGAGGCAGCAGUAGGGAAUCGUCCGCAAUGGGCGAAAGCCUGACGGAGCAACGCCGCGUGAGUGAUGAAGGUCUUCGGAUCGUAAAACUCUGUUAUUAGGGAAGAACAUAUGUGUAAGUAACUGUGCACAUCUUGACGGUACCUAAUCAGAAAGCCACGGCUAACUACG